This is a long non-coding RNA of Cebus imitator (Panamanian white-faced capuchin), 634 nucleotides long. RefSeq lists it as uncharacterized. Lineage: Eukaryota; Metazoa; Chordata; Mammalia; Primates; Cebidae. The record is from RefSeq and is a predicted model, not a curated record. The transcript is spliced from 3 exons.
UGACCAGGAUGUGGAGAAAAAAGGGAACCCUCGUACAUUGUUGGUGGGAAUGUAAAUUAGUGCAGCUACUGUGGAGAACAGUUUGGAGGUUCCUCAAAAAAUAAAAAUAGAGCUACCUUAAAAUCCAGCAGUCCUACUUCCCACCUUCAAGUAUUUGCACUGGGUAUUUCUUUGCCUGGAACACUUUUCUUCCAGAUGGUCACUUGGCUAACUCCCGUACUCCUUCAAGUCUUCUUAGAUCUGUCUUUUGUCUCAGUAAGGCCUACCUGAAAAUGCUAUUUAAAGUUGCAUCUUACAUUCUAAUCUUCCUUUGCCACUCUUUUCUUUUUUAAAUAAUAAUUCUCACCUUCUAACAAACUAUUUAAUUUACUUACUAUGUCUGCUUGUAUAAUCCCUAACCUCUUAAGUUCUAGGAGGCUAGACACCUUUGUCUAAGCUUGUUUGCUCCCGUAUCCCAAAUGCUUCAAAUAAUACCUGGUAUUUAGUUAGUGUUCAAUUAUUUGUUGAAUGAAUUCAUGCAAGAUAAUGAACCAAAAGUACUUCUCCCUUGGCAGGGGCUUGGAGUCAAACUCAUUGUAUGAACUGAGGUCUAGAGGAGGGCUAAUCAUCAUCCUAGGAACAGAAACUAGAAAAG